RNAcentral lists this ribosomal RNA (503 nucleotides) under uncultured bacterium. RNAcentral describes it as "partial 16S ribosomal RNA". It matches the Rfam family "Bacterial small subunit ribosomal RNA", at positions 30 to 523 of the family's 1533-position model. The record is from RNAcentral.
AUUGAACGCUGGCGGCAGGCUUAACACAUGCAAGUCGAGCGGGGUGAUGGUGCUUGCACUAUCACUUAGCGGCGGACGGGUGAGUAAUGCUUAGGAAUCUGCCUAUUAAUGGGGGACAACAUCUCGAAAGGGAUGCUAAUACCGCAUACGUCCUACGGGAGAAAGCAGGGGAUCACUUGUGACCCUGAGCUAAUAGAUGAGCCUAAGUCGGAUUAGCUAGUUGGUGGGGUAAAGGCCUACCAAGGCGACGAUCUGUAGCGGGUCUGAGAGGAUGAUCCGCCACACUGGGACUGAGACACGGCCCAGACUCCUACGGGAGGCAGCAGUGGGGAAUAUUGGACAAUGGGGGGAACCCUGAUCCAGCCAUGCCGCGUGUGUGAAGAAGGCCUUAUGGUUGUAAAGCACUUUAAGCGAGGAGGAGGCUCUUUUGGUUAAUACCCAAGAUGAGUGGACGUUACUCGCAGAAUAAGCACCGGCUAACUCUGUGCCAGCAGCCGCCGUAA